UACGAAGGGGGCUAGCGUUGUUCGGAAUUACUGGGCGUAAAGCGCACGUAGGCGGAAAUUUAAGUCAGGGGUGAAAUCCCGGGGCUCAACCCCGGAACUGCCUUUGAUACUGGGUUUCUUGAGUUCGGAAGAGGUAAGUGGAAUUGCGAGUGUAGAGGUGAAAUUCGUAGAUAUUCGCAGGAACACCAGUGGCGAAGGCGGCUACUGGUCCGAUACUGACGCUGAGGUGCGAAAGCGUGGGGAGCAAACAGG
This 252-nucleotide ribosomal RNA is filed under the name uncultured bacterium. RNAcentral's name for it is "partial 16S ribosomal RNA". It matches the Rfam family "Bacterial small subunit ribosomal RNA", at positions 524 to 776 of the family's 1533-position model. The record is from RNAcentral.